UUUUUGGUUGGAGUGAUUUGUUUUUGUUUUUGUUUUUUUUUUUUAAUUUUGAGCUUGCUUGCUUACAUACAAGUUGAAGCAGCUGGCGAACUUUAUGCUCCUGUUCUUAUCUAGAUUCCUGCAAGUUUCUUCCUUUCUCUCUUUCUCUCUCUCUCUUUGUGUUGCUAAAUUUAAGGCUCUAUUAUUUGAUUAAGUCGAGAUCGAGAUGCAUUUCAAUAACCCAAUUUAGAGGGUUUUGCGUAUUUUUUUAUUGGACUCUUUUGAGCUCGGAAAUCGAGUAAUCCUUUGAUCUAUGGGUUUCGUUUUUGUUGUUCUCUCUAGCUAAACUGCGUAAAAGCAAUUUGGGGUUCAUUUGUGGGAAUUCAAACGCAUCAAAGCUGGACUUUUUUUUUUUUUUAAUUAUCAAUUCACUUUCUGAAUCAGUGCUUAAUCUCUGAGGUUUAUGUAUUGAAACUUUACAGAUCGGAGGAUCCGAAGGUGAAUGCAGCUUACGAUUUCAUCGAAGUGUAGAUCUGCCUGCCGGAUUAGGCCUAAUUGGGGAAUUAUAUAGC
RNAcentral lists this long non-coding RNA (551 nucleotides) under Capsella grandiflora. RNAcentral describes it as "long non-coding RNA (CGRA_LNC001407)". The record is from RNAcentral. Lineage: Eukaryota; Viridiplantae; Streptophyta; Magnoliopsida; Brassicales; Brassicaceae.